UUCUAAUUCACCUCUCUAAACGGGUUUCUAUCUCUACCACUUGCACAAGAAUAAGCAUCCAACUAAUGUCGUCUGAAUUUGAAAUAACAACCCUCAGCAUCAGAUGCAUCAUCUCUAAUUUUAUGAAAUUAUUGAUUCCAAUUCCAUCUCACAAAACCACAUCUAUAAAUAUGGAGUCGGAGAUGGAGCUAUAGAAUUGAGGCCAGGAACCUAUUCACAGCUUCUAAAUACACAAGCUUAGUUUUAGGGUACAAAAUACCUAAUGGCUUCACUCAAGCCUGAAAAACCUGCGGCUGCAACACCUCUCAAGAAAGAGCCUGCCAAAUCUGCACCCAAAGCUCCGGCCUCCAAUCCCGCCCCUAAAAAAGCUGAGCAGAAGCCUCGCGAGCCUAAGAAGAAGGGAACAGCUAGCAAGGCAGCAGCAGCAAAAUGAAGAGAAUAAACAUCUACUAAUAUAAUGUGCCACUCGCUUCCUACUCUCUACUUUUAGGCUUCGCCUAAUAAUUAAAUAAAAUACAUAUUUUCAUUACA
Long non-coding RNA from Manihot esculenta (cassava), 531 nucleotides. RefSeq lists it as uncharacterized. The transcript has 2 exons. The record is from RefSeq and is a predicted model, not a curated record. Lineage: Eukaryota; Viridiplantae; Streptophyta; Magnoliopsida; Malpighiales; Euphorbiaceae.